Molecule: long non-coding RNA, 7864 nt
Organism: Cygnus olor (mute swan)
Lineage: Eukaryota; Metazoa; Chordata; Aves; Anseriformes; Anatidae
Exons: 3
Source: RefSeq, a predicted model, not a curated record
AAUAUGUGAUACAACCUGUUACCACUAUUCAUCAGAGGGAAAGAAAUACAGAUAAUGAAACAUAAAAAUGCCCCAUGAAAACCAUAUUUAAUAAAGCUUUAAAUAGCUGAACAGAAAUGUACAAGGCAAAGAAACACAGUCCUGCUGUUUCAGAACCAAAGCAAUUUUAUGGAAAAUGAAAAGAAUACUUGCAAUAAUUUCAUGCACUCACACUUUCAUUCUUAUUUUAAGUGGAAAUAUAUCAGGAAAUUCAUACACAGAGGGCACAUAAAUAGUACUUUAUCUGUCCCAUGGAAAAGACAGCAUGAAAGAUUCAUUAGACUCUGGGAUAUAUAAUGACUUCUUGAUUCUUUCAGUUCUUGGCCAGUGCUCUAAUGAAAUUCAAACCUGCUACAUCUGCCAUACUACACUGUUAAUUAGUUUUCUAUUUAUUUAGCAGAUCUAGAAGUGGAAAGCAAUCUAUUGCCAGUGAAUUGUUUGACUUCUAUGCUAAGCAGGCUGCAUUCCAAUCCUCUAAUGUUGAAACUAGCAUGAAUCCAACUUUCAUCUCAUUGCCAUGUCAAAUUAGCACCCAGCAGAUUCCAGAUACAAAGGUACAGAGACUUUUUUUUUUUUUUUUUUAACUUUGGUUUGUAAAAGACCAACAGUUCUUGAAGUCAAGAAGUUGAGGAUCGGCAAUUUCCUGAUUUUCUGCAAUGUCUCUUUUCUUCCCUUCCCCCCUAAUUUACUAUAAUAUAUUAAAUAUAGGAUGUAUAUCUGCUGUGGUAUGUUUGUACUGAAGGACAAACAUGAUUUUAAGCAGACUCUCUUCAUUAUGUAAAACAAAAAAUACUGAUGUGUACUCUUCAAGAGUUUGAAUAAAAUACUGCCCAGCUCAAGAAAAGCCCAGAAUGCCCUGACAGAGCUUAUGAGAUGACUUUUGUACAUGCUUUGCCAUUUUCUAUUUCUGUCUGUCUGUAUUCUGCAACGUAUUGCAGCAUCUAAACGUGACAUUCUGAAUGGGACUGACUCCUGUCUUGCAGUGUCAACAGAACCACUGGGUUGUGAAAGUGUAAAGCAAAGCCAGAUAAAAACAGAAAAUAAAUUGGCUAGAAACUGAACCAUUAAUUCUCGCAUAAUACAAUGCACGAACUACAAUGUGUUAGAGGCUGUUGUAAAACUACAAAUCCACAUCCAGAGAUUGGAGUUUGCCUUGAAUUUUUUUUUCCUUUUUUUUUUUUUUUCCCUAAAAUCUAGAUAUGAACUUUGAAGAAUGUGGCUUUUGGAUCAGUCUAGUCCUAAAUAAGUCACUAUUAUGAAAUGAGUAAGUAAAAUGCUGUGCUGAACUUUGGCAAAGAAAUGACUAAGCUGUUCCCCUACAGUAUUAUUUGUAGAACAUCCUUGAUAAAAUCCUUUACAUAGGGAAGGUGUUGGUUUUGAGUAAUUUACAAAGUAAAUCUGAGAAAAACAAUAUACAACACAGGACAGCAAUACACAAAACCUGGACCAAGAGCACACUGGUAGUAGCAUUCACAAAGGAGCCUCUUUUCCUUGACGGAUUGAUGUUUUUGAAAAAAUAUUUUUGGAUUUCAGGUCUGAAUCAGAAAUAGUGAGCUCUGGGUUAAGUACUGGUUGAAAACCAAUCUAUAGUUGUUGAACUGUAUUGUGUUAAUCACUUAGAUGGCUUGAGAUUGAUAGAAGAAAAUCUUUUUCUCUUUUUUUUUUUAAAGUUGUGAUACCUUGAAAGAAAGUUCAAAGCUGGGACUGAGCUGAGACAAAGAAGGUAGACAGGAGAAGAGAGAUGAAUGUGUGAGACAAAGUGGAAUAGGAAAGGAAACCUGCAGAGUUUUGAACUGAAGGAACUUGAUCUCAGCUAAGAAGAGAAAAUCCAGGAACAGUCAAGAUGAGUCAACCCAACUUCUUUUCUGAUUGAAAUUCACUGCUGUCUCUGCUGUUUUUUUGUUUUGUUUUGUUUUGUUUUGUUUUUUUUUCUUUUUCCUUUCCCUUUUCUUUUCCCAGUGAUAGAUAGAUACUUUGUUGACUCUGCUAUUAUUUCUUUACUAUGUUCCUCUCUUCCACCUUUAAGAAAAGCAACCUACCUGAAAAACUGGUAAUCCUGAGCCUGGGAAAAAUAAAAUAGCCCAGCAUAGUGAUAUCUGUAAUUCAGACUCAGCAGUGACAUGAAUUCCUGAGUGCUCCCUGGGAGUCCUCCUUCUUACAGCUCAGUACUUCAUAAGGGUAGAAAAAAGGCAACAAACUGAAUGAGCUAGAAAGAGUAAUUUUCCUAUAUUUUUAAGUUGUUUUCUGGGAUUCCUGGCAUGUUCAGAAGGACUGAGCAGUGCUCCUUAACAAAGCUUGCAAUUAAGUAAAUGUUGUGUUUGUUAUGGUUAGGUUUGAAUUUUUGAUAGCCAGGAAUGGUGAAGAGUAUAAGGUAGGAUUUAUUCAUCUUUUCCAGUGUUUACAGAGCUGGAUGGACUGAAACAAGCAGCUGAGAUUUAAGGUAGAAAUCUGUAAAGUAGAGCUAUAAUAAUGAAGCUGCGCAAUGUAUAAGCAUGUCUUCUGAUGAUUAGGAAUAAAUCCAUGAGUUUCAGGAGCCUUAAAUAUACCUGUUCUGCAGUUUUUCCAAAUGGCUGGAUUAUCUGCAUACACAUAUGACACAACUGCCAGAGAGACUUCUGCUUAUUAGGAACCGUUCACAAUCUUCCUGUAAGUUGCCAGAGCUGAAUCACGGCCACAGCUCCCCUUUGUUUAUGCCCAGCUGGGAAAUCUUGGUUUUGUCCUACCUAUCCCUGAGCACUGGGGGUGCAUGGUACAGGACGUCCUCUACUACAGACUCCUGCCCUGCUGGGAGGGGGCAGGGAGCUCAUCCUGCACACAAGGCUGCCCUGGUGCUCCUUGGGCUGACUUUGUUCUGUGCUUAUGCCUGCUUUUGUGCAGUAGUGUAAGAAAAGAGUUUGUCUGACUCCCAUAUGCAGCCAACAGAUGCUUGUGACCAUGGGUGUUGCAUGAUCAACAAAUGGUAACAUAAAAUCUUUAAACCUACCAAAAGAAUUGAGAAUUUCAGCAAAUUUCUCUCUUGUCUGGAUGCUCAUUUUGAUUGGCUAUUGAAAAAAAAAAAAAAAGCCAGUUGUGCGUAAACUCCAUCUGUUCUUAUGGAGCAGUAUAUAUGUAGUUGGGAGGAAAACUUAAAGGGAUAUGUGAGCGGUGUUAUUGGAAAAACAGAAGAACCGAAUAUGGUAUCAGAAUCCCUUUUGGUGCACAGAGGGGGCUGCAAUAACUGGAGAGUAUUCAGCUUUCUGCAAAAAUAUUAUCAGAAGAAAUUGAUCCUUUAAUGUAUGCCUUGGAAAAGAAAAAAUUAAGCUUUUAAAAUUAUGCUUCCAUUUUACAGUACUGUGUAAUUUGAUUAUACAAACUACACCUAUGCAGGUGUUUCACUGAAAUGUUUCUCUCUGUACUCAGCAGAACAAGGAUACAGACCUUACUGAACAGUGGGAUGAGAUGCAGAGUCUUAGGAGCUGUUACGUAGGUGAUUGACACAUCUUACGUUAUUUGUUCUUCUGGUCUGUGAUGCACCCUAGAAAACUCUACAUUUCUUUGGGCCUGAUGCAAUUUUGUAGACUUGCAGAACAGCCCUGGAGAAGUCAUGCAUGUGCCACAACAUCUGAACGGAUCUGAGGAAUGGGAAAAAAAGACGGGAGGAGAGGAAGCACUGAGCACUUUCCACAAAACAAGGCCUCUGGAAAUAAGAUGGCGUCGAAAUCUCUGCAUUUAUUGCUAUGUGCUUAAAAGGUCCUUUAUAGUUCAGGCAAGAACGAUUCUUGCCCUGGCAAGCUUACACGCUAAUUGAAACCUCUGUAUUCUUGUGCUUGCACAACACAGCAAAAUGGAGAGCCGCAGCGAUGGAAAUACUGUGACGUUGGUCAGGUCAAAAUACACAUUACAAGAGCAUCAGCCAGGAGAAAAAGGUGGAUAUUACUGUGAGAAAAGGAGAUAGCUGGAAAAAGGAGGCUGGUUAGAGCAGUAUAGCUUAGGGGGUGCGGCUCAAAAGGAGAAGUCUGGGUAAUUUGGGAGGAAAGAAAAUAUGCAGGAAGCUUGGAAAGCCAGGAGCUCUGAGAUAAAUUAAAGGAGACAGAGCAGACCAACAAAAUGAGUAGAUUUGAUUGUUUGAAUGACAUGUGUGCAGUUGAGUAACAGGUGAAAGGAAUAAGGAGGACAUAGUAGUCUGAGAAGCUUUAUAGGGAUCACCUAGAAGCCAGAGGCAACAGGAGGAAAAAUCAGAGUCCACCAAUGCUCGGGAAAAUGGACAAAAUGGAAUAGGAAUGGUACAGAUCCAGAGGAGAAGCAAAAUACUUCAUGUUUUGGAAGAUGCUGGAGAAAUCUCUCCAAAUGCUUCUCUACUUGUUUGUGGUCCACACUGGCACAGAAACUUCCCUUUUUUAAGUAAAGGGACAGGUAUGUCAUAUGAAAAGCAAUUUUAGGUAAGUUGACUAUUAAUGACAAGCAAUGAGAUCACAUUCUAGUUUAAGGCGUAUUAUAUUUGUAUAUCGACCUACACAGUUGUACAGUUUGGACUUAAUGUUGUGUACAUUUAUAUAUGAAAUUCCACUAAUAAACAAUACCAUCAAAAAGGUCAAAAUUACAGAUGUUAAAAAAAAACAAAAAACUUUUUGUAAUUGUACAGUGACCUAAGUGUUUAGGUUGGAAGGCACCUCUUGAAAUCACCUAGUCCAACCCCACACAGGGAAUUCAGUAAUUAUUUUAGAAUUUUAUGUUUCAAAAACGAGGGAAUAUGUAAUGCAUUUAAAAAUUCAUUCAUGAAAUGAGAUAAAAUUGAGAUUACCACUUACUACAUAUGAUCAACUGUUGUGCAUAGAUGUCCUUUUCAGCUAAAAUGAAGCAAGGAUAACUGAAGUCUGUAAUAAGACAUGAAUAACGAUUUCACGCGUAACAAAAUUCUUGAUCGUAAACAGCCAAAUGACAGCAAUUUCUUGGCUGUUGUGAGGAAAAAGUAUGAAAUAAUGUAAGUAACUCUUUCAUCAGUUUUCUACAUCUAGUGUCUGAAGAUAAAACAAGAGAAUUACAUCAAUACUGUAUGCAAAACUGGUCAUUUUAGUCAUAAUAUAUUAGUAAAGUUCACUUAUCUUACUACAUUACUAUCUACUAUUUUGUAUGUGCAAUAACUAGUUAUCAAAUUAAUCUUUAUAUUUCAGUCUCCUAAUUAAAUGAAGUUCUUAGCUUGCCUUUUUUUUUUUUUUUGAGAGGGUUUUAACAGACCUCCCCAGAACCCUACUACUGGAGCAAAAUUGUGAGCAUAUCUACAUAACAUCUCAGGUACAAGCCUGAGCGUACAGUGCCAGGACUCCCUUACUAAUCACCCGCUGUCAAUCUGACAGAGCUCUGCUUACUCUGACAAACAUCUCCAGUGGUACCAAGAUCUGUCUGUAGCCAGAGGGAUAAGUGACUUCACUAACCUGUAAGACAGGUGUGCACAAACUUCAAAAGAGGACAAAAGAUCAGCUACGCCCCUAAUUAAAAUCAGAUGGAUGACUAUAAAUAGACUACAUGGGAGGAAAACCAAAGUGGAGAUGUACACAUUUGAAUUGACUCGCUAAAACCUUUUUUCUGGCAUUAAAUUUGGCCAUGUAAAGCAAGUAGAAAAUUUCUGGAGAUGGGGAAAUUCUUUACGUCCAGUAGUGCCUCCUCUUCUCCUCUAAAAGAGAAGCAAGUGGUCUGCAAGCUUCCCAAGUAACAGGGACUUUCCAGACCUUGCUGGGGUGGGUACAAGGAAGGCUGCCUAUUUUGGAUCACCUAACACCUGGUUUCAUGCUGACUUUCUUUAAUCAAAAGAAAAUUAUGAAAAUUCAAGGAAACUUUUUCCUGCCUUGCCUUGAGCAGUGUUUUCUUUAUAGUCCCUGACACAACCUGUUGUCUUUUAAGCAUAUUGUUACACAAGACCAAAUAUUUGUUAAUACAUAAAACAGUAUUGUUACACAAACUGGAUAGUGGAGUAUGUUCUCUGGGAUACCUACCUUUGCGUGAUCAGGAUGUAGAGGGGAAGGCUAAAAACCUCAGAGAAUUAUCACACCUGUUCUGUAAAAACGAAACCCUGAAAUCACUAUAAUAACUGUAAUAACCUUUCUUUCCUAGUUCAACAGAUUAUGUAAACACUCAAAAGGUGAAGAAAGCUGCCUGUGAAACUUUCAAAUAUAUUUUAACCAAUACAGUACCAUAAAAGAUCAUGUUAACAUUUCAGUUAUCACCUUAUUUACAAAUGAUACAAUAAAUUCCAUAACUUGCAACUGCUCAUUAGAGAAAGUGGCCUUAACUUUCUAAGUUACAAGAAAAGUUGUAUGUACAUGGAAAUUCCUCAUGUUCUAGUUGAACAGGAAUAUCUACAUGUGAACUAGAUCUGCUCAAGUCAUCUGAAUAUACACAGAGAAUGUUAUGUUUUCUCGUACUUCAGUUAUAAUCAGAGGGCAAACACAAAACAUUUCAAACUAAAAAUGAUAAAAAAUAUAAGAAUCUGAGAGAUGGUUAGAAUGGUUAAAAUAAAUUUGAUACGUUUGGAAAUUAUAUCUUCAAUAACUUGUUUCUUUAAUUAGACCACUAUGUCUAAAUAUGGACAAUUACUCAAUUUUGUAUAACAUCUACUUUGCCUCUACACCAUUAAUGAAUUUUUCAGCUUACUUCCUUGCCCCCUUACUCUGUAGUCUGUCCUACACAAUGAAUUUUUUUAAUGUAAAAUACUAAUACGCUUCUGAAAGCCAGAAGUAGGGAACGACUGCAUUACAGGGUAAUUUAGUUCUUGUCAAAAUCCUGAACCCAGGCUCCUGCUCAGACUAUUUGAGAAAUUGUUAAUAGAAAAAUGUUUCUGCCUGCUUACAGUGAGAUUCAGAUGCCUAUACAAGAGCUUGCAGCAGCUGUUCCAGAUGCCCUUUAAGGUGCUAGAGACAUCCAGACAGAGCAGGCUGAUGUGAUGCAGGAACUCUGAGAAAAGUGACCUGGAGAUUUGAGCAGGUACCAAACGGGAUACCAGAAGGCAAGUGAAUCCUACCCUUUAUAGUGUUUAUACUCCCCUAACAAAGAAUUACUGUAAUUCAGCAGUAAACUCACAUAAUAAUGAGAUUAUUAGUAUUAGCUAAGUAAGAUCGUACAAUUGUGUGUGACUGUAGCUCCAAAUGGGCUCCAGUGACAGUCAAACAAGGACUUACGAUGUACCAUUCUACAGCUGCCAAAGAAGACAGCACGAGCCUUAGGAUGCCUCCUGUUUCUGUGAGGAGAUGCCAAAUCCACCCAAGUCAUAGUGGCACUGCUAUAGCAGGCUUUCAUCCUUGCAUCUCAAAGUACUUUACUACAGUGUGUUUCGCAGCUUCUGAAGGGUAGAAAACAGUGAAAUGGGGGUAUACUGUAACUACUGCUAGCUACUGUAUUCCAGGAGAGACCUCCCAUGCUCAGGAGAAAGACAAUGGGUAGGAGGAACAAAUGGGAGAGAGUGCCAUCUGCAAACAAAACAAGAGUUUAGGCUUCCAGCAGUGUAAAAAGACCAUAUAAAAUGUUGUGAGACUGAAUACCAUCUCUGCUGUUUCCUUCUAGAGAAAAGGCACUAAUACCCAUGAGUAGAUAAAGCAGACAACAAGCUUCUGAAUAUACUGUAGCAUGGAAGCAAAGUGGUCUUUGUGUGGGAAACUGAUGAUCACUGUGCCCUGUCCUUUGCUUUGGAGGAAUACUGCUGAACAAGUCUCUCAUCUCCAGAUGCUUCUCAGGUUUAUAAUGCUUAGUCCCCUUUCUUCCGCACAGCUUUAUAACUCCAGAUGCUUCUCUUAUUUUUGCCACCAUUAGAUGUAACAAAGAACUUAGGAAAAAUAAAGAUUUGGAAUAUAUAAAG